UGCGUUAUCCGGAAUGAUUGGGCGUAAAGCGUACGCAGGUGGCUGUGUAAGUCUGCUGUUAAAGAGUCUAGCUCAACUAGAUAAAGGCAGUGGAAACUACACGGCUAGAGUCGCGUUCGGGGCAGAGGGAAUUCCUGGUGUAGCGGUGAAAUGCGUAGAGAUCAGGAAGAACACCGGUGGCGAAGGCGCUCUGCUAGGCCGCAACUGACACUGAGGGAGGAAAGCUAGGGGAGCGAAUGGGAUUAGAUACCCCAGUAGUCCUAGCCGUAAACGAUGGAUACUAGGCGUGGCUUGUAUCGACCCGAGCCGUGCCGUAACUAACGCGUUAAGUAUCCCGCCUGGGGAGUACGCACGCAAAGUGUGAAACUCAAAGGAAUUGACGGGGGCCCGCACAAGCGGUGGAGUAUGUGGUUUAAUUCGAUGCAACGCGAAGAACCUUACCAAGGCUUGACAUGUCGCGAAUUCUUCUUGAAAGGGGAGAGUGCC
This 486-nucleotide ribosomal RNA is filed under the name Nostoc punctiforme CG1. RNAcentral describes it as "bacterial SSU rRNA". It matches the Rfam family "Bacterial small subunit ribosomal RNA", at positions 537 to 1018 of the family's 1533-position model. The record is from RNAcentral. Lineage: Bacteria; Bacillati; Cyanobacteriota; Cyanophyceae; Nostocales; Nostocaceae.